CGAAGCCCAACAGAAAGUAGCUUUAACCAAACUGAUGCCAGGAAAGUCAAGAACACACUGGGAUUAGAUACCCCACUAUGCUCGACUAUAAAUCAAAAUGUAAUCUUACAUACACAUCCGCCCGGGUACCACAAGCACAGCUUAAAACCCAAAGGACUUGGCGGUGUCUCAGACCCACCUAGAGGAGCCUGUUCUAGAACCCCCUAACCCCCGUUAAACCUCACCACUUCUUGUUCUUCCCGCCUAUAUACCGCUCGUCGUCAGCUUACCCUGUGAAGGACAAGCAGUAAGCAAAAUGGGCAUGCCCAAAAACGUCAGGUCGAGGUGUAGCGUACGAAGUGGGAUAGAAAUGGGCUUACA
This 360-nucleotide ribosomal RNA is filed under the name Hypostomus affinis. RNAcentral's name for it is "partial small subunit ribosomal RNA". It matches the Rfam family "Bacterial small subunit ribosomal RNA", at positions 703 to 1229 of the family's 1533-position model. The record is from RNAcentral. Lineage: Eukaryota; Metazoa; Chordata; Actinopteri; Siluriformes; Loricariidae.